GAGAGAUUUCUUUGCCUUCUCCUUGUGCUGCUGGGAUUUGGUUGGUAAUAAAUUCCCUCCCUGUGCCCAGGCUGGGUCUGUUGUGCCCGUGCCAGUUGAAAGGGUUCAAAUCAUUGUACCUGUGCAAGUAUAAGGUACAGGGUAAAAGUUAGCAAAUAUUGGCCACAAACUUAAGGCACUGAAUGUAAGUUGGCAAGAAAUGGGGAACAAAAGUCUCAGAAAUGAUGAACAAAGCUUGCUGAGACCAGUAGAGAAACUGCAGAAGCAGCCAACGAGAGACUGCGCCUGCCUAGGAAAGAAAGGUGAAAAGUGCAAAGCGAGGAAGACUGUGGCACCUGGGGAGGUGAUGGGGGUUGGGAGGAAUUUUUAUUACGUCCCUGGGUAGGAACCCAUUUCCACUCCCCUUCAUCCCCCAGGUCUCCUCCCUCAGCCUGAUGGUGAGAAGCAUGGGAGUGCUCUGACUGCUGAGGGGCUUCUCUCAGGGAUGGAAGGGUGAAACUCCACCAGUCUAUUUCCCUUUCCCUUUCUCUAAUGCUCCUUAGUCUUUCCACUUCCUCCUUAAGCUCGGCCACCAGGGAAAGGAGAUCGUUCACCUGUUUGCACCUCAGGCAGGUGUCUUUGACAGCAUCCCCUGGUGCUACUGCCAGGCUCAAACACUCCUCACAGGAAGGGAUCUGGACAGACGCGUCCUUCUGGGAGGGUUCUGCUUGGCUGGGUACUCUUUUAGUGGCUGGAGCUUUUGAUCGUGUGAGGACCAUUGCUGAAAAACCCAACCAACCAAAUCUCAACACAAAAACAAACUACAAACCCCACGGGCAGGAGAACACCCGCAGCCCUGCCCUCGGAGACGUGCCACGGCUCUAUUUACCCGCUCCGGUUCCCCGUGCUCCCCAGAGCUCUUUUUGAAUCUGACCGCCGCUGGCCGGAGGAAACCUCACCCUAUGUGGGGGUGUCACCCCCUUUGCUCUGCCCACAGAGCUCCUGAGCCGCCGGCGGCCACAGCCCCUCCCCGUGGCCUUAGGUCCGGCCGGGACCCCAAGUUUCAAGUGUAUUGAAGGGAUGAAGAGAAAUGAAAAGAAAACCAAAAGAAAAGGAGUUCCGUGUCGGUGCCAGCUAGGGAUCCUCGUGCUUGGGUUGGAGUGAAGAAGCUUUUUUGAGGGGGUUUCCACCCCACUGUCUCCAGAAUCUUGAUCUUUGAUCCAGUCCAUUUUGUUGUGGAAGAUGCCCUUGGGCCAGAGAAAUUCAGAAUCCUGGAAUCACGGAGGUUGGAAAAGACCUCAAGGACUGUCCAGUAUUCCUGGAUGUCACCAGAAGAUAGGAUUGAAUGGAAAAGAUUUUUGGGGGUCAAUAUUCAACAAAUCUGCUCUCCCCAAUGAAUUCCCAAUGUCACUCUGCAUCCCAAGGGAUGUUCCUGCCCCUGGAUUCAUCCAGGUGCCCACGGGGAGCCAGGAAGAUGUGGAGACCCCAGCCAGGUGUCUUCGCAACACGGAUCACCAGGACCAUGGAUCACCAAGGCUCUGCCCAACAAUGGUCACUGGGGAUCAUCCAACACGUAUCCUCCUGUGAUACGUGAAGGAAGGAGACCCACCAACAGCAGAGAUGCAGGUGAAUCUAAGGUUUAUUCAAAAGCACCAGUAUAUAUAUCCUUACUUCUAAGAGCUUACAGCCGUGAUCACAGUCCUACAAUAAAUCUGUCUUCUUGACAUUUUCCAUUGUUCUCUCCAAGGCCACAGUGAAGGAGCGUGAAGAAUGUGCGUAGAGCAUGUGCAUAAAGCGUGUGCGUCUUAUGUUGACGUAGAAGUAGAAACUCGUUAGUUCAGUUCUAUCUCAGGUGCACGCUGUGUCAGAGAAACCUUCUGCUGGUACUGCUGGUGCUGCUGCUGUCGUUCUCUGUGUAACUCUUUCCUUAUACCAACACCUGUUAACCCAACAACUCCCCUAUUUUAUUUUUUGGAGUCAUGGACAAAGCAAGUGCAACCAUAGCUUGUUUUUGUGUGCCUUUAACGGCUCUGAUUAUGUUGAAAAGGACAAGACAGAAUAUCAAAAAAGAUACCACUGCUAGACAACCUAAUCCAAUAAAAACCCAAGCUUGUAAAUUUAUUCCUGAAAACCAAUUUUUUGGAUUUACCCAAGUAAGAUCAUUUUUUAAGUCAGUCAGUACCUUUUGCUCCUCUAGAGUUUGCAAAUCUCUAAGUUGCUCUUUUAACUGAGCGUGAAGUGAGUGGAUAUCUUGCCUUAGGGCUUUAUCAAAGACUCCUUGGAGAUGGUUUUUGAUUGUUUCCCAGUUUCGUUCUGUUUCAUUCCACGGAAGAGGAGUGACACAUAAAGAGUUAUGUAUGUGUUCCCAAUCGCAAUGUAAAGAUAUGUGGGUUUUUUGAGCCUCAACUCUUUUGCCAAUCCACAAAAGAGCACUUUCCAAGGCAUCUACUCUGGUCAUUAUUUCCUUGUCAAUUUGCUCUUGUGUUUGUAAUUAUUUUGUAAUAUUGGUUAGAGCUUGUCCCACAGUGUGGGCUGUUUGAAUGGAAUUAGCUAAAGCUGCACCAGCUGCAAAGGCUGUGCUUAAAACUAUUACAGCAGAAAUGAUGGCAAAGAUCAGUCAACCGAGAAAUUUGCGAACUCGUUUCUUACUCUUUUGGAUUUCCUCCUGGAAUAAUCGAGCCAAUUGUGACAGUCCAUCUUGUCCUUCCCAAGUCUGAGUCAGGUUUACAGGUACCCAAAUUUGCAGUCUUCUCUUAAAUGGAAGAAGAACAGAAAAGUUAUUCACAUCUUCAUUGGUUACAUAUGAUUUAAAGACAAAAAGAAUUAGCAGACAGAAAAUACAAGCCAUUCCUAUGAUCAACUGAAAAAUUAUUAGCUAAAACAAAAACAUAUGGGUGUGAAGUACAAGUCAUUAGUGGUUGUUUCUUUAGCGAAGUUAUAUUUGCAAUGGUAGCAUUCUUGUUCAGGUUCACCUGGUAUAACGUAUUAUCGAAGGCAGGUAACAGCAUUUUCCACAGAUAGUUAUGAACACAUGAUUGAUUAUUAUCAAUGUUUAAUCAAUGGUCUGGCUAUUCCACUAUCAUGCCAAACAACGCUGUAGUUUGCCUUUUGCAAGCGAAGAAUGGUUUUAUUUGUCCCCUUUUCUCUGAGGAUACUAUGUGGUCCCCAGUAAAUCAAUUUCCCAUAUUGUAA
Corvus hawaiiensis (hawaiian crow) is the source of this 3171-nucleotide long non-coding RNA. RefSeq lists it as uncharacterized. The transcript is spliced from 2 exons. The record is from RefSeq and is a predicted model, not a curated record. NCBI's taxonomy places the organism in Eukaryota, Metazoa, Chordata, Aves, Passeriformes, Corvidae.